AUGAAUAUGUUGCAUCCAAAUCUGCAUUUAUCUCUCUGCAAUAUGCUCAUUUGCUAUAUAGUUUUGAAGUUUACAUAUCAUGUAUAUUUAUUACCAUAUCCUGCUCGAACGUUUGGGCGUUCUUCGAAGGAAUAUCUUUUUUUUCUAUUGCAGCUUUCUCCUGGAAACCGUUGUUAUGAACCAAUCAACUCUUUGAGAAUUAAAGGUAUGCCAAUAUACUCGACUACUAUUCUCAUGUUGCUUUGCUAUCUACUAUUUUCAUACCUGGUUUGGCUUGCUUGUGGUGCGUUCUGUUGUAUAGAUGCAUUGUUAUGA
This 315-nucleotide ribosomal RNA is filed under the name Triticum aestivum (bread wheat). Its description in RNAcentral is "partial small subunit ribosomal RNA". The record is from RNAcentral. Lineage: Eukaryota; Viridiplantae; Streptophyta; Magnoliopsida; Poales; Poaceae.